AAAUAAGAAGCGAAUAAUUGCAAUCAGUUUCGACCUGAUCAUCUUGGUGUUAAAUCAUCCUUAUUUA
RNAcentral lists this transfer RNA (67 nucleotides) under Deielia phaon. RNAcentral describes it as "tRNA-Arg". The record is from RNAcentral. Lineage: Eukaryota; Metazoa; Arthropoda; Insecta; Odonata; Libellulidae.